This 492-nucleotide ribosomal RNA is filed under the name uncultured bacterium. Its description in RNAcentral is "partial 16S ribosomal RNA". It matches the Rfam family "Bacterial small subunit ribosomal RNA", at positions 29 to 507 of the family's 1533-position model. The record is from RNAcentral.
AGUGAACGCUGGCGGUAGGCCUAACACAUGCAAGUCGAACGGCAGCACAGUAAGAGCUUGCUCUUACGGGUGGCGAGUGGCGGACGGGUGAGGAAUACAUCGGAAUCUACUUUUUCGUGGGGGAUAACGGAGGGAAACUUACGCUAAUACCGCAUACGACCUACGGGUGAAAGCAGGGGAGCUUCGGACCUUGCGCGAUUGAAUGAGCCGAUGUCGGAUUAGCUAGUUGGCGGGGUAACGGCCCACCAAGGCGACGAUCCGUAGCUGGUCUGAGAGGAUGAUCGGCCACACUGGAACUGAGACACGGUCCAGACUCCUACGGGAGGCAGCAGUGGGGAAUCUUGGACAAUGGGCGCAAGCCUGAUCCAGCCAUACCGCGUGGGUGAAGAAGGCCUUCGGGUUGUAAAGCCCUUUUGUUGGGAAAGAAAAGCAGCAGGUUAAUCCCCCGCUGUUCUGACGGUACCCAAAGAAUAAGCCCCGGCUAACUUCGUG